Molecule: ribosomal RNA, 355 nt
Filed under: uncultured organism
Description: bacterial LSU rRNA
Rfam family: Bacterial large subunit ribosomal RNA
Source: RNAcentral
CUUCACUAUAGCUUAGCAUUGAUACUGGGUAAAUGAUGUGUAGGAUAGGUGGGAGGCUGAGAGACGGCUACGCUAGUAGUUGUGGAGCCAACGUUGAAAUACCACCCUUUGUUUAUUUAGUGUCUAAUCCUGCGAGGGAGACAGUGCUUGGUGGGUAGUUUGACUGGGGCGGUCGCCUCCAAAAGAGUAACGGAGGCUUCCAAAGGUGCCCUCAGCACGCUUGGUAACCGUGCGUAGAGUGUAUUAGCAUAAGGGCGCUUGACUGCAAGACCGACAAGUCGAGCAGGUAGGAAACUAGGGUAAAGUGAUCCGGUGGUUCCGCAUGGAAGGGCCAUCGCUCAAAGGAUAAAAGGUA